GGCGUGCCUAAUACAUGCAAGUCGAGCGAACGGACGAGAGGCUUGCUUCUCUGAUGUUAGCGGCGGACGGGUGAGUAACACGUGGAUAACCUACCUAUAAGACUGGGAUAACUUCGGGAAACCGGAGCUAAUACCGGAUAAUAUUUUGAACCGCAUGGUUCAAAAGUGAAAGACGGUCUUGCUGUCACUUAUAGAUGGAUCCGCGCUGCAUUAGCUAGUUGGUAAGGUAACGGCUUACCAAGGCAACGAUGCAUAGCCGACCUGAGAGGGUGAUCGGCCACACUGGAACUGAGACACGGUCCAGACUCCUACGGGAGGCAGCAGUAGGGAAUCUUCCGCAAUGGGCGAAAGCCUGACGGAGCAACGCCGCGUGAGUGAUGAAGGUCUUCGGAUCGUAAAACUCUGUUAUUAGGGAAGAACAUAUGUGUAAGUAACUGUGCACAUCUUGACGGUACCUAAUCAGAAAGCCACGGCUAACUACGUGCCAGCAGCCGCGGUAAUACGUAGGUGGCAAGCGUUAUCCGGAAUUAUUGGGCGUAAAGCGCGCGUAGGCGGUUUUUUAAGUCUGAUGUGAAAGCCCAUGGCUCAACCGUGGAGGGUCAUUGGAAACUGGAAAACUUGAGUGCAGAAGAGGAAAGUGGAAUUCCAUGUGUAGCGGUGAAAUGCGCAGAGAUAUGGAGGAACACCAGUGGCGAAGGCGACUUUCUGGUCUGUAACUGACGCUGAUGUGCGAAAGCGUGGGGAUCAAACAGGAUUAGAUACCCUGGUAGUCCACGCCGUAAACGAUGAGUGCUAAGUGUUAGGGGGUUUCCGCCCCUUAGUGCUGCAGCUAACGCAUUAAGCACUCCGCCUGGGGAGUACGACCGCAAGGUUGAAACUCAAAGGAAUUGACGGGGACCCGCACAAGCGGUGGAGCAUGUGGUUUAAUUCGAAGCAACGCGAAGAACCUUACCAAAUCUUGACAUCCUUUGACAACUCUAGAGAUAGAGCCUUCCCCUUCGGGGGACAAAGUGACAGGUGGUGCAUGGUUGUCGUCAGCUCGUGUCGUGAGAUGUUGGGUUAAGUCCCGCAACGAGCGCAACCCUUAAGCUUAGUUGCCAUCAUUAAGUUGGGCACUCUAAGUUGACUGCCGGUGACAAACCGGAGGAAGGUGGGGAUGACGUCAAAUCAUCAUGCCCCUUAUGAUUUGGGCUACACACGUGCUACAAUGGACAAUACAAAGGGCAGCGAAACCGCGAGGUCAAGCAAAUCCCAUAAAGUUGUUCUCAGUUCGGAUUGUAGUCUGCAACUCGACUACAUGAAGCUGGAAUCGCUAGUAAUCGUAGAUCAGCAUGCUACGGUGAAUACGUUCCCGGGUCUUGUACACACCGCCCGUCACACCACGAGAGUUUGUAACACCCGAAGCCGGUGGAGUAACCUUUUAGGAGCUAGCCGUCGAAGGUGGGACAAAUGAUUGGGGUGAAGUCAUAAC
Molecule: ribosomal RNA, 1471 nt
Filed under: uncultured organism
Description: 16S ribosomal RNA
Rfam family: Bacterial small subunit ribosomal RNA
Source: RNAcentral